UUUGCAGCUUAAGGAAUAGCAGCAGAUUCCACUGGCACUAAAGCAAUCCCUUUUGGAUUCUUCCAUCUGAAGAGAAAUAAUGCACCACAACCCUGAACAUGACUUCAGAGAAUUCCAGAAAACACCAACCUCUUGAAUUGAAUGCAGAGAAGGUGAUAAGUUUGUAAUGGAAGGCAGCUGCAGUCAACUCAACCACUUAGCCAGAAAAACUAGAGACAAACGAUCACCUUGAAGAAGGGAGGUUCCCUUCAAAUGAGGCUCCUGCUACCAUGUCAGAGAAGUUCUGUGGUGAGAAAAUAAAUGGUAGAUUAUAGAGUCCAGGAAAA
Molecule: long non-coding RNA, 326 nt
Organism: Ornithorhynchus anatinus (platypus)
Lineage: Eukaryota; Metazoa; Chordata; Mammalia; Monotremata; Ornithorhynchidae
Exons: 2
Source: RefSeq, a predicted model, not a curated record